GAUGAACGCUGGCGGCGUGCCUAAUACAUGCAAGUCGAGCGAACAGAUAAGGAGCUUGCUCCUUUGACGUUAGCGGCGGACGGGUGAGUAACACGUGGAUAACCUACCUAUAAGACUGGGAUAACUUCGGGAAACCGGAGCUAAUACCGGAUAACAUAUUGAACCGCAUGGUUCAAUAGUGAAAGGCGGCUUUGCUGUCACUUAUAGAUGGAUCCGCGCCGUAUUAGCUAGUUGGUAAGGUAACGGCUUACCAAGGCAACGAUACGUAGCCGACCUGGGAGGGUGAUCGGCCACACUGGAACUGAGACACGGUCCAGACUCCUACGGGAGGCAGCAGUAGGGAAUCUUCCGCAAUGGGCGAAAGCCUGACGGAGCAACGCCGCGUGAGUGAUGAAGGUCUUCGGAUCGUAAAACUCUGUUAUCAGGGAAGAACAAAUGUGUAAGUAACUGUGCACAUCCUGACGGUACCUGAUCAGAAAGCCACGGCUAACUACGUG
Molecule: ribosomal RNA, 497 nt
Filed under: uncultured bacterium
Lineage: Bacteria
Description: partial 16S ribosomal RNA
Rfam family: Bacterial small subunit ribosomal RNA
Source: RNAcentral